UAUGGCCAUAUCAUGUUAAAGCACCAGUUUCUGUAUGAAUACUGAAGUUAAGCAAUGUUGAGCCUGAUCAGUACCUAGAUAGGUGACCACCUGAGAAUACCAGGU
Acanthosepion pharaonis is the source of this 105-nucleotide non-coding RNA. Lineage: Eukaryota; Metazoa; Mollusca; Cephalopoda; Sepiida; Sepiidae. The record is from the annotation of a GenBank genome assembly.